Molecule: transfer RNA, 71 nt
Filed under: Stegodyphus mimosarum
Lineage: Eukaryota; Metazoa; Arthropoda; Arachnida; Araneae; Eresidae
Rfam family: tRNA
About the family: Transfer RNA (tRNA) molecules are approximately 80 nucleotides in length. Their secondary structure includes four short double-helical elements and three loops (D, anti-codon, and T loops).
Source: Rfam by way of RNAcentral
GCCUUCGUGGUGUAACGGUAGUACACUCGACGUGUAUUCGACAGGUACAGGUUCGAAUCACGGCGAAGGCA